CUCAUUUACAAUGGAUGUUUCAUUAAGAGUAGACUAUGACUUAUUCCUACUUUAAUUUUAUUUGUGUGAGAUAAAUUUACGUACUUUUGCUGCAUUAUCAUGAUGAAUUUUCUGUAUAUGCUUAUAAGGUUUUUCCUUUUCCUUUUCUUUUCUUUUGAGACAUCUAACUAUCCACUUUCAGCCUGAUAAGCCAAAGACCGUACUAUCAUUUAUUUUUCAAAACUUAAAACUUGACAGUAAUGUUCUUUUCCUCCAAAUUGUGUGGCUUUGAUGUUCAUUAUCUUAAGGUUCAUAAUACAUUUCCUCCCUAUCAUCAAAGCCCUAAAACUUGUUUUGGCUCAGACAUCUCCAGAGACUGAGUUCAUUCCUUCAGUUCGUCUGUCAGGUUCUUCCUUCAGAACAAUUUGUCUGGAUAUCCCAAGGCCCCAUUCCUCAGAUACAUGUCUCCAUUCUCCCCUCUCUUCUCCUCUCCUCCCCAUGCCACUGUCUCCACCUUAUGCAGGCAGUUGCUUCUAGAACACUCAGUUCAAGGAUUAUUUGUGAAAAUUCUCAUGGAAUAGCCAAUCACCUAUUUCUCUGAAUUAGGAAUUUCGAAGCCAGCCUUUAAUCUGUGUUUCUCAACGGACACCCUUGCUGAACUUAAAAUGCCCCUGAUGGGGAGGGGGAGAAUGGUUUUAUUUUUAAUCCUGGGUAAAAUAGGGCAUCUUUGUUCAUAAUACCUGGCAAUCACGAGACUUAGAAACUUCCCCAAAAAACUUCUAACCAAAGACAGUUCCUUGACCAGUUUAACAAAACGUUAAUAUGCUUAAGUUCCGCCCUACACUCAUGCCCUCACUGAGCAGGCUUUGGGAAAGAGCAGUCAUAACAUGGAGGGUGGACACCUCUCAGGUGCCUAUCAGAAGGUGCCAUGGAGUAUGGAUUUGGCCAUCCAAAUCACCAAAAGAAUAUGGCUUCUGUUACCCCCAGCUACAGGGUUUCCGUUCAGGCACCAGAAAAUCUGUUAUCGCGUGCCACCCCAUAAUUGUCUGUCCCCUCCCAGUUAUUAAGGAAAGGAACCCUUGGUCUCUAAAUCGAGUUUGUCAAAUACUGAACUACAAAUGGGCAUGAGAUUGAUUAGCGUUCUUCCUACUGACACAAACUCUCGAACCUCCCUCCAUGCAGUGCUAGCAACCUAUUUUUUUCUUAAAAAGGGACAAAGGGCUCUAAGAUGGUAGCAAGGUUUGGCACUUGGAACAAAUAAUGGCUCACCCAGCACUGUUGCUGCCAUUCUGUCCUGUCACUUGUCCAAGCCCUGCCCUUGUCUAGCUUUCCUUUGACCUUGAUACAAGCCAGGAACGUAAACACGGAGACUCUUAUAAUGGCUCCUUUGUGUUCAUAUCUUUGCUUUCUUCCCAAAGAUCCUUAAAGGCACAACACACAAAGCCAGGAGCCCAGGUACUCGGCUCUCAACCCGCUUGCUGACUGCUGGACCGUGGUAACAGGAUAACUGGAUUCUUAACGUUCAGAUUUACUGAUAGCAGAAUUCGCUUCCUACCUAUGGCGCUGCAAGUGUUAAGCGAUUAGUCUGACGCCGGAGAGGGAGUGAACUGGUCAGAAUUCAGGCUGUUUCACAAUAGGCUUGGUCUAUGGAGUUAUCUCCAGACAUGUUCUCUGUUAGGGCUAGAUAAACCGCUGUUGAUACUCGCUAUUAAUUGAUAACCAGCUGGGACUUUCCACUAGAGAGAAAUAGAAACACAGUAAGCAAUUCCUCUGAGCUGUUUUAUCUUUUGACUCAAGUCAAUCCUGGGGUUAUCUUUUUGAGAAAGUCGAAACACCUUCAAGGAUUCAGUAUUCGUUUGUGGAAUGUGCAGACAUUUGUAAAGUAUCUCUGUACUAAAGGACCGAGGGAGGAGGAACUCAUGAAUAAAGGAGGACCCGGAACUGGGAUGUAAAGAAUGACUCAGACCCACACAGUGAACUGGGAAACAAGACGGGCAUCGUAGCCAGGAAGUGCUUCUGUACACAGUAUGUUUCAGACUCAGAAGGGGUUAAAAAUAUGUGGAUAAUUAGGAUCAAGGAAAAAAAGAGAGAUCUGUAAAGCUGAUAUCCUCAAAUAAAAUCCUCUACUUCUGUAAAAAGCUCACGGCUGUCAGCAUUUGGCUGGAAACACCCAGGCCCAGGAUUUUCCUGACUGAAAAAUCUACUCUCACCUGUGUGAGUGCUUGUCUGAUCCAGACAAAGAGUGCGUGACACCGGUGUCUCUUUUCUGGAGGGUCUAUAUUUAGAACACAUCAUCUAAUCUGAAAUUUAUAAAUUCUAAAGAGAGCCCUUACUGAAAUAUGGACAAGUCUUUGUUAGUGAGGGAAUGGCAUCAGAUGACAAGCUUCUUUCUUUCUUCUUCUUCUUCUUCUUUUUUUUUAAUACUAUUUGAACACCCAGAAGCAUAAAGCCUACUGCCCUUUUGCCAUGGAGCUUGCAGCUUGGCAUGUAAAUGCUAAAUUUAAACCCACUCAAGUCUCUUGCAUGAAGUUGCACAGCUAAACAGUGAGCCUCCUUUUCCUUCCUCCAUUCAGAAGCUGGGGAAGAAAUGGCAACGGAAUGAAAAGGCUAGAUAAACACGUUCGGCGAUGAUCCUAGGAAAGAGGAUUUUGUUUGCAUCAAAUGUUGAUAAAAAAGAUCAUAGACAGCCCUUUUGAUGUUGCUCUCUCCACGAUUAGGACUAGAUUCAAGUGCAUGACUCAUGGAAAUGACCCAGGCAGGAAGAAUGAGUCACCUCGCCUUUUUGGACCUUCUGGCCACAGUUUCUCCUGGGAUCAACAUCACCAUGGGAUGUCUUCCUUUGUAUGACCACACUGCUCUCUGCUUGUCAAGACAGCCACCUGCCGAUUGCGAUGACUCUCUAGUCCUAGAAAAGCUCCUCUCCCUGGAUAGUUGAAUGUCCUUGGAAGGGACCUUCCUUCUCAUCUACCCGGUGUUAACUCAGAAGUAAGCAGACAGUCCUCAUCCUGGAAAGAAUAUCUAACAACAAGAAGAAUGGUGAACACUUCUUGGUUGCUAUCUUCAUUUUGUUUCUCUUCCCAGCAGAUACUCAGCACGACGCUAUAAGGAAGUACAAGGCAAGUGUGGGUUUUCCACCAUCGUUUUAUUGCUGAAACAGCUAAGGUCAUGGCGAAGUUAAACAUUUACAGAAAGUUGCAGAACUGGCAAAGGUGACUGACUGCAGAGCCACUUCACCUCAACUGCUGCACCAUCCUGACAAGGCCAGGUCAGGUGGAACAUGGCAGCUAUCCUGGGCUUUACAAGCACACAGCUAGGUCAGCCUCUUCAAACAGUCCCUGAAAGAAGUCCUUAGGAUAUCUGCAGACUGAACAAUGAAAAAGGGUUGUUUUUAAGGCAUUGGGUGUCAAUCCUUAGCAUAGGUAGAAGGGGGCCAUUUAUGUGGGUGGAGCAUCCUUGGAUGGAAAUAUGUGAACAGAACAAGAAAGGAAGGGGUUUGGAGUUUACCACACAUUACCCCUAGCAGGGGAGGAGAAACAGUGAGAUUGGCAUGCUUGUAGCAGAGGAGGUGGAAGUAGAAGAAUUCGUGUGGGAGAGAGAUGUUCAGUCCAGGGACAGCGUGACCCACAUCCCACCUAAAACCACUGGAGAUCUAAUCUACACAGACCUCAGGGGGACGGGGCAAGGCAAUGUGUUCCCCUUUUCACCCACGCUCAGCCCUUCAUGGGAACUGAACUGCAUCCUGGGAGCUAAGGAAAAGAGCCGCCCCCGACUCUCCGUGUGCACACUCAUCAAAGACUUGCAUCAUCCAGGCAGGUUCUUCUGCAGAGGAUAGUAAGAACAGGAGAAGACUCAAGGUUUAGAAGAGAUACCAACUGCGUGGCAGGUCCAAGUGGUCCAGGUUAACUCUAAACAUCAAAUGGAGUUGCUUUAGGGCUAUUCAUUUUCAACAUUACAAACUAUUCCAGAUCUUUUGCAUUUCCAUACUAAUUUAGACUCUACUCAGUUUCUACACACACACAUACAUGGCAUACUAGCAACCAACUGGAUUUUGACUGAGAUUGUGUUUAAAGAUUUUUGAUGUUUUAAGGGUGGAGAGCCAUAGGCAAUAGGUGAAUGGAUGGUGUGGGUGUGUUUGAUAAACGCUUAUUCACAAAGGCAGGUGGUGGGCUGGACUUGUCUCAGUCACAGCUUUUUUACUUCUGUUACAGGUCAUCUUGCACCUACCCUCUUCACACAGCGACCCUUCCAAUACACAAACAGGAUCCCUGUAUUGAUUUAACUCUUCCUCUUUUUUUGACUCAGUAAUAGUUUGAUAUUUUUAGUGUGCAAACAUUCUACUUGCUAUUAAGUUUGUAUAGCUUUUAUGUUAUUAUAAAUGUACUCAAAGAGAUUAGUGAAGUUUCAGUGAAAUCUAUUUUAAGAAGUAUGGGGAUUUAUAAUUUAUUCCUUAUUAUCAAGAAUAUAACAUUUUGGCUACUAAGGAAGGCUAAAAAUAGAGGUAGAAUAACAUUUAAAACUCAAUCUGGGCCAUUUCAGGAUAAAAUUAAUUUGCUCUUUACCCCAUCAGUUUAGUGCUUCCAUAUGAGACUUGUGGAAGAGCAAGUCUAAGGGCAGAAAUUGCAGAAUGUGAAUCAUGAUUGCUCAGCUCUCCACACUCCACAGGGAGGCUGAAAAUGACUGCAUAAUUUGUUUUGGAUGGCUUACUUGAGAUAGUCAAGAACAUUGCCAUCUAAUAUAUUCUGUUUAUGGCAUCCUUAAGAGAGGUUUGUAGGUCAUAGACACGCUUCUAAGUGGUCAUCAAAUUAGCUCAGGGAUUAAAAUGUGACCACCAAAUUUUCCUGAGUGAAAGGCAAUAAAAAGUAGUAGCACAUGCCUGUAAUUUCAGCAGCCAAGAGGAAGAGGCAGGAGGAUCACAAUUUCCAAGCCAGCCUGAGCUUUGUAGCCUGAACAAAACCAAACACCUUCAACGGUUAAGAGCCCUUGGUCUUGAUUCUGGACGAUAAUGCAGUGGUGAAGAACUUGGAGUCGUUCUGCCACUCGUAGCUUGAGAGAGCUUGGGCGAGCUUGGGCGAGCUUGGGCAUGUCAUUUUAGCUUCCUAAGAUCACGAUGAAUGAGACCUCUGUAAAACUCUUCAGAAGCCAUCAGGACCUCCAUAGAUAAUCAACAAAAGACAUUAAAACCCUGUUCCCUAUUAUACUCACUACUAGGAAAGCGAAGUGGGCAGUGACGACUAAGAUGUUUGCUGUAAAACUUACUCCCCUGGCAAGCAUCGUCUGAUGCCUACCAAAGACCUUAACACAAACGUAAGGAAGAAAAUACAAAAUAUGAGACAUGUCUUCACUUGGAGAAGGAUGGGCUGGUUAGAGGGUGGCGGGUGCUGGCAGGGUGGAAGCAGGCAAAACCUCCUCAGUGGGUCGCAGCCUGAGGGAGAAACGAGCAGAAAGCCAGUCUCAGAGGUAACUCUAUCCCAUCACCAUAGGGAGGGGCAGAAACCUUUUUAAAAGCCUUGCUUUUGACCUUCGGACCCCAAAUACACUAUUCUCUGCUUCACGUCAAGGCCUCAAAAGAAGACUCCAAGAGUUUUUCUAAAAUGCAUGCCACAGUGGGGCUUGCAAGAGCUAAGGUUGUCCUGGUUGGAAGUAGCUCACCUUUAUGUGGGACCAACAACAGGCUAGGAAUACCCAGCAUCCGACACACAGAGGCUAGAGGUUAAAUCUGAAAGACCAAGCAUUUCCAAUAGUUGUGACUCCACAGGAAACAGUGACUAGGAUCAUGCUUUUUUAUGUGGAUAAAUUUACCCCCUUUCGAGAAGGAAAACGGCCUGCUCUGUAAUAUAAAUAAACAAUCUUAUGUACAGCUACUUUAAAG
This is a long non-coding RNA of Myodes glareolus (Bank vole), 5848 nucleotides long. RefSeq lists it as uncharacterized. The record is from RefSeq and is a predicted model, not a curated record. NCBI's taxonomy places the organism in Eukaryota, Metazoa, Chordata, Mammalia, Rodentia, Cricetidae.